Molecule: microRNA, 22 nt
Filed under: Saccoglossus kowalevskii
Lineage: Eukaryota; Metazoa; Hemichordata; Enteropneusta; Harrimaniidae
Description: sko-miR-2012-3p
Source: miRBase by way of RNAcentral
AAUGUUCAUAUUUCAGUAUUUC